AGCUCCAAUAGCGUAUAUUAAAGUUGCUGCAGUUAAAAAGCUCGUAGUUGCAUUUCCGAGGCAAGGGAUUAGUCCGACCUUUGGUGGGUAUUUAAUCCUCUUGCCUCGUCCUUGAGUGGUGCUUCUUGGUAUUAAGUUAUCGAGGAGAUAGCCGCUCAUCGUUUACUGUGAGAAAAUUAGAGUGUUCAAAGCAGGCUUAUGCCGUUGAAUAUAUUAGCAUGGAAUAAUAAGAUAGGUCCUCGGUACUAUUUUGUUGGUUUGAGAACCAAGGUAAUGAUGAAUAGGGACAGUUGGGGGUAUUCGUAUUCAGUUGUCAGAGGUGAAAUUCUUAGAUUUACGGAAGACGAACUACUGCGAAAGCAUUUUCCAAGGAUGUUUUCA
Molecule: ribosomal RNA, 381 nt
Filed under: uncultured marine Chaetocerotaceae
Lineage: Eukaryota; Bacillariophyta; Thalassiosirophyceae; Chaetocerotales; Chaetocerotaceae
Description: SSU rRNA
Rfam family: Eukaryotic small subunit ribosomal RNA
Source: RNAcentral